GACGAACGCUGGCGGCGUGCCUAAUACAUGCAAGUCGAACGCUGAAGGAGGAGCUUGCUUCUCUGGAUGAGUUGCGAACGGGUGAGUAACGCGUAGGUAACCUGCCUGGUAGCGGGGGAUAACUAUUGGAAACGAUAGCUAAUACCGCAUAAUAGUAGAUGUCGCAUGACAUUUGCUUAAAAGGUGCAAUUGCAUCACUACCAGAUGGACCUGCGUUGUAUUAGCUAGUUGGUGAGGUAACGGCUCACCAAGGCAACGAUACAUAGCCGACCUGAGAGGGUGAUCGGCCACACUGGGACUGAGACACGGCCCAGACUCCUACGGGAGGCAGCAGUAGGGAAUCUUCGGCAAUGGACGGAAGUCUGACCGAGCAACGCCGCGUGAGUGAAGAAGGGUGUCGGAUCGUAAAGCUCUGUUGUAAGAGAAGAACGAGUGUGAGAGUGGAAAGUUCACACUGUGACGGUAGCUUACCAGAAAGGGACGGCUAACUACGUG
Molecule: ribosomal RNA, 495 nt
Filed under: uncultured bacterium
Lineage: Bacteria
Description: partial 16S ribosomal RNA
Rfam family: Bacterial small subunit ribosomal RNA
Source: RNAcentral